This 253-nucleotide ribosomal RNA is filed under the name uncultured bacterium. RNAcentral's name for it is "partial 16S ribosomal RNA". It matches the Rfam family "Bacterial small subunit ribosomal RNA", at positions 524 to 776 of the family's 1533-position model. The record is from RNAcentral.
UACAGGGGGGGCAAGCGUUGUUCGGAAUUACUGGGCGUAAAGGGUUCGUAGGUGGCUACCUAAGUCAGACGUGAAAUCCCUCAGCUUAACUGGGGAACUGCGUCUGAUACUGGGUGGCUUGAGUGCAGGAGAGGAAUGCGGAAUUCCAGGUGUAGCGGUGAAAUGCGUAGAUAUCUGGAGGAACACCGGUGGCGAAGGCGGCAUUCUGGACCGGCACUGACGCUGAGGAGCGAAAGCGUGGGGAGCGAACAGG